This 8026-nucleotide long non-coding RNA is filed under the name Triticum aestivum (bread wheat). Its description in RNAcentral is "long non-coding RNA (TAES_LNC022151)". Lineage: Eukaryota; Viridiplantae; Streptophyta; Magnoliopsida; Poales; Poaceae. The record is from RNAcentral.
GAAACGAACGUGUACAACUACUUCCCCUACACCGCAUCGAACCCGAUCCGCUCUGAAAACGCACGCUUCGAAGGUAUAACUCCGAGACGACCGCCCGUGGACGAAUGCAUGUGUGUUGUAUGAAAUGCUCGUGUGUGCAUCGUGUCUGAGUUGUCAUUGCACAUUCCUCCUCGUUUGCCAUGCCGUCGACCCGUGGGAACCCGUUAACUGGGAUUACCCCACCAUCCUUGCAUGAACCGUUCAUCCACACUUUCUUUUGCACCGACAUCUCGACGAGUUGUCGGAUCAUCGGGAUGUUGUCGUGGCACCAUUUUCAUUGUCGUUGCCGUGGCUCCCCUUUCGUUCCACCACGGUAACAAAAGCUUCAUAACAUGCUCAUGUCAACUUUUUCAUAAAAUUGCUUAAAACUUGCAUUGUCAUUCGCAUCAUGAUAACAACAUUUAAAAUGUUUAUAUUUGUUGUUUCCAUUAAUUUGCUAAAUGCAUAUGGGGAUUUACCGUAUUUGUUGUUUGCUAUAUCCGGCCCUAUUUAAAUUGUUUAGAUGGUAUAGUUUUGUUAUGCUUCACCUCUUGCCAUGUUAACCAACAUUUAAUAUUGUUGUGUACCUAAAGGAGAUUAAACUAAAUAUGUCCAUGUGGUGUUUUGUCAAUAUGCAACUCGUUGCAUAUUGAGCUCCACUUAAUUUGUAGUAUUGUUUGUUGCACUUUGCCAUGCCAUGCCUCUUUAAACCGGACAUGCAUCAUACUUGUGUGUGUGGCAUGCCAUGUUUAUGUGAUGUUUGUUUACCAUGUUGUUUGCUUCUUUCCGGGUUGCCUUCGGUUUCGUUCCGGAGUUGUGAGGAUUCGUUCGACUACGUCUGCUUGUCUUCUUCAUGGACUCGUUCUUCUUCCUUGCGGGAUUUCAGGCAGGAUGACCACUACCCUGGAUCUCACUACUAUCAUUGCUAUGCUAGUUGUUUCGUUCUAUCGCUAUGCUGGGUUACCUAUCUUUUGCUCCUCAAGCCUCCCCAAAUUGCCAUGAACCUCUAACCUUUGACACCCUUCCUAGCAAACCGUUGCUUGACUAUGUUACCGCUUUGCUCAGCCCUCUUAUAGCGUUGCUAGUUGCAGGUGAAGUUGAAGGUUGCCCCAUGAUGGACAGGAUUAUGUUGGGAUAUCACAAUAUCUCUUAUAUUAUUAAUGCAUCUAUAUAGUUGGUAAAGGGUGUUAGGCUCGGCCUUAUACCUGGUGUUUUGUUCCACUCUCGCCGCCCUAGUUUCCGUCAUACCGGUAUUAUGUUCCCGGAUUUUGCAUUCCUUAUGUGGUUGGGUGAUUUAUGGGACCCCCUUGACAGUUCGCUUUGAAUAAAACUCCUCCAGCAAGGCCCAACCUUGGUUUUACCAUUUGCCUCACCACCACCUAUUUUUCCCUUGGGAGUAAUUAACCCAAGGGUCAUCUUUAUUAUAGCCCCCCCGGGCCAGUGCUUGUCUAAGUGUUGGUCCGAACUAGAGCCCUUUGCAGCGCCCCCUCAGGGAAACUUGAGGUCUGGUUUUAGUUGUACGAAUUGCUUAUCUGGUGUUGCCCUGAGAACGAGAUAUGUGCAGCUCCUAUCGGGAUUGUCGGCGCAUCGGGCGGUCUUUCUGGUUUUGUUUUACCAUUGUCGAAAGGUCUUGUAAACCGGGAUUCCGAGUCUGAUCGGGUCUUCCUGGGAGAAGGUAUAUCCUUCGUUGAUCGCGAGAGCUUAUCAUGGGCUAAGUUGGGACACCCCUGCAGGGUAUAAACUUUCGAAAGUCGUGCCUGCGGUUAUAGGCAGAUGGGAAUUUGUUAAUGUCUGGUUGUAGAUAACUUGACACCAGAUCCGACAUCAACCACGUGUGUAGCCGUGAUGGUCUCUUUUCGGCGGAGUCCGGGAAGUGAACACGGUCUUUGGGUUAUGUUUGACGUAAGUAGGAGUUCAGGAUCACUUCUUGAUCAUUGCUAGUUUCACGACCGUUUCGCUUGCUCUCUUCUCACACUUAUUUGUGUAUGUUAGCCACCAUAUAUGCUUAGUCGCUGCUGCAGCCUCACCACUUUACCCCUUCGUUUCCCUUUAAGCUUUGCUAGUCUUGAUACCCAUGGUAAUGGGAUUGCCGAGUCCUCGUGGCUCACAGAUUACUACAACAACAGUUGCAGGUACAGGUUAUGCGAUGAUCAUGACGCGAGAGCGAUGCUUUCUUGCGUUGAGUUCUUCUUCUGCUUUUUCGAUCAGGGGAUAGGUUCUAGGUCGGCAGCCUGGGCUAGCAGGGUGGAUGUCGUUUGAGUUUCUAUUUGUGUUUCAUCCGUAGUCGGAUGAUGCUCUUAUGUAUCGUGAUGUUGUAUUCGUGUGGCAUUGUAUGCCUCUUGUAUGUAACCCCAUCUAUUAUGUAAUGUUGAUGUAAUGAUAUCCACCUUGCAAAAGCGUUUCAAUAUGCGGGUCUAUCCUUGGUGGGACCUUUGAGUUCCUUUUGGAUAGGGUCGCAUAUUGGGCGUGACAAGUUGGUAGUCAGAGCCUCGACCGACCAUAGGAUCCCCCUUGAUUGUUGGCCGUUGUUGAGUCUAGGAAAAAAAACUAUUUUGAGUCUUAGGAUUAUAUAUAUCGGAGAGUAGCAUUCUUUUUACUCCUCAGCCCCCUUCGUCGCUCUGGUGAGGACUCUUGACGUAGAUGUUUUGUCUUUCCUCUCCUCAAAUUUCACUAAAAAAAUUUUAGGAUCACGCGGGUAUCUUGGAAUCGUUCCGAUGGUUUUGGACGAGAACAUUGUUCUUAGUGCCUCCUGUCUAUUAUGUGGCUUUGACCCGGGGAGUUGAGCUCCGAGGUGUUGUCGUCACAAUUUUAUCGUUGCAGUUCUGGAAUACCUGAGUUUUGCCGACAUCAAAAAUCUCUUUUAUGCAGUUGUUGGUGAGAUAACCUCGACGCCACCCAGUACUGGGGCGGGAGUUCAGGAGUAUUGCCAUAGCUCGUAUAAUGGAUGCUUUUCGAAGGUUGAGGUACACGAUUUCCGAAGGUUUCUUGGUUAUGUGUUGACGGAUGGAUACAGCUUGGAUGUAGGUAUUGUUAGUUUCGGUGAGAUAUAUUGCUUCCCCUGUAUCCCAAACACCAGAUUGCAUAACCAGAAAGUUUCGGGAGUUUAUAGGUGGGAAUUCAAGUAGCUCCUAGAAUAUCUUUCCGACAGAUGCAUGAUAUGGGAUUGGGUAAAUCUCUAUCAUAUGUAUUUGUUCCGGCUUAUUCUGCAAGCCAAUUCUUUGUUUUGUUUUAUUUGUGGUAUUCGAGUUGCUUCAAUGUCAAGUGUUGAUUCCAUACCUUUUCUAAAUGGUGUUCUCAUAUUUCUAUGGGAGUGCUAAUCCUUUUGAUCAUCGAGAUUGUCAUGUACCGGCGUGCUUCUCUUCAAGUGGAUCCGAUCAUUUUCAACACCCGCAAGAUCAAGUCUAAGUUUUCUCACCGGUGUUUGUUUCAUCCGUCCCCAGGUUGCCUUUGUUUUCCCGCCCUCCCACCCUUUUCUUUAAGGACUCGUUUAUUUUAAUCAAGUAUCCAUUUAUUCAUGUGAAGUCACUUCACUAUUUUCAAUCAAUGUUCUGAUCCGGUGAUCCCUCAUGAAGAUGCUCACGAGCUUCAAGUUCAUCAUCCUCCGUUCUUUUUCUUCUCCGGUGGAUCCAAUUCAAGAUUUCGAUAUUCAUCAUAUUCUUUUCCUCGUUUCUAAUGUUUUCCCAUGCCGGUGCACCUCUUAAUUGUUCACCUUUCUCUAUUCUUAUCCGGAGUGCUCAAGAUAUCUCAGAAGAAUCAUGUUUCCAUUCUUAAUCCGUUCGAGUUACUUCAAGGUUUUUCUCUCAUUCAAGCUAUUUAAUUCAACCGGUGCAAUCUCUAUUUAAAAUCAUUUCAACGGUGUUUCUCUUGAGUGGGCCCUAACCCACAGAUUUUUUCCUAGGAUCUUACCUGACUCUUCUAAUUUUCCCGGAGCUAUUCCCAAAUUCAUUUCAAAGUUUGAUGUAAGAAUGAUUUAUCAUCUGUCAAAUGUCUUUCUCCAAGAUCUUUCAAAUUCUUUUCAUCGUUGAUUCAACCUUUCUAUUAUUCAUUUCGGAGUAUCUCAACAAUUUAUGGUGGUGUUUCUCGUCGUCAUUUCUCAGAUUUUGAAGACCGAAGAAGAGUUCCUCUUAAAUCCUUACCCGUUCUUCCAAAGAUGCGUAGUUCAAGCUUGAUUCCAUCCUCUCAUAAUUGUUUUCGAUUGUGAGAAUUCUUUUCAACCAUCUGAUGCAUUUCAGGAGUCGCUUCCUUUCUUGAUAAUCCAUAUGCCAUCAUUUCUGAAUAUUACUCAUUCUCAACCUUCAACUUUUGUUCUCCAAAUCUUACCGGUGGAUCAUUCAAGUAUUCUCUAAUAAGCUCAUGAUCUCUUCGUUCACUUGUAUCUAAAUCCCCUCAAGUAUCUUCAUUCUUCCCGGUGAAUUGUGCCUUUGCUACUUUCAUUUUCAAUUCUUACGAUGGUUCGUUCAGGAUUUCUCUUCCUCCGUUAUGAUAUCAAAUAUUCGUUGUUUCCAAAUCCCAUCGGUAGUUCCAUCAAUACCUUCUGAAGUUUAUGCUAUAUCUCUCUUAAUUCUUUCUACGAGAAUAAGUAGUAUGCCAAAUCCGUUGCUUGUCAUCAAUUUAAAUUGGUGAAGGAUAGGCAUGACAUAAUUCUUAUUCUUGUUUCAUCCAAGUGAUUAAUUCCUUCUUCUGGAGAUUGUUCAUGAUGAAGUAAUUCUCGGUUCUAGUAUUCAUCUUUUCUUUCCAGAGUUCCAAGUUCUCUCGGUUAUAUCAUCGCAAAGCUCCAUCUAAAUCAUUGCAAGGCUUCACCUUGUGUUUCCAACUUCUCUUUCUUUCUAUCAUCCUUUCAUUGCCGGAGUUCCUCAUGGAGGCUCUACAUGAUGGUUCAUCAAGGAUUUCUUUCAUUCUCAUUUUGUUCUUAAAGAUUUCUCUCGGAGCUAAGAUCCGCCAAGCUAUACUCAAAAAAUAAACAUGGUGCUCAACACAUAUCUUGUUUUGAGGAGUUCAAGUAUUCUUCAUCUUGAACUCCAAAGUGCAAUUCUUUCUACCUUAUCUUUUGAGGUGGUGUUAUGUCACUCUUGACAAUUUCCUUCAUGUUUCAUGAUUCAUAUGUUUUCAAGAAUGAGGUAUUUUAAAUCCAUCAUUUUCUCUUCGUUCAAGAGAUCUUUUCGACCAAUCAACUUCUUCGUUGCAGUUAUCUUGGGUUAUAUUUAACCUAAAGUCUUCCCUAAGGAAUGUUGCUAUUAUGGUGCUUAUCAAUGAUCCAAGUUUUUCUCCUAUCCUCUCGGCGAAAGGAGUUGUCAUCUCCAUGUUGACCUCAAUCCAAUCUAUUGUUUCCGUUAGUGGCAGAAUUUCGCCUCAAUUUUGAGAAGUUUUCCAUAAGCCCACUACAAACUUGUGUUUUUCGUUGUUGAUUUUCGAACAACUCCGUUCAAUCCUUCUUUGCAAGGAUGCUUUCCAAGUUCAUUUAUGGCAGAAAUUGACAUUUUCUUUUCCGCCCCUUUAUCCCAACAAUCUAGCUUCUAUUCUUUCGUUCCGGAGGCAUUGUGAUGUUGCUUUUUUCACUCAUCAUCUUGCUUUGGCAAGAUCAUGUUCUUCUCCUCGCUUCUCCAUUUAACCGGAGUGUUGUGUCAUCUCUUCAAGUUCUUUCAUCUUAUCAAGUUUUGCCUCUCUUUUCAACCUGACUGCUGUCUGAAAUCCUUCUUACCCAUUAUGCCAUUCUUUCAAUACUUCCGGAGGCAGUGUGUUGUUGAUUUCAUCAAGUAUCUUCCCAUCUUCUCAAGUUCAUGUUCUAUUCCUUCCAUGUUCAACCGGAGUGCUGCCCGAAUUCUUCCUCUCUCAUCUUGUUGUAACCGGAGUGGUUUUGAACCCUAUCUUGUCCAUUAAACUCUUGAUUCAUGUCUUUGCAACCUUUAAGUUAUCGUAAUGUUCCUUGUUCCUCUUUUCUAACGGAUUGUUGCAAUCUCAUUCAUCUCUGUUGUGUUCUUUCUUUCAAUUUGUUCAACCUCUCAAGGUUCAUGGUUUCACUCGUUUGUCGAAGAAGCAACUUAGUUUACCUCUUCUUUUCCUCUUCUGUUUCUCUCCGGUGCCAUCCUAGAUCUCGGGACGAGAUCCUCUUGUAGUGGUGGAGUGUUGUAACGCCCCGAGACCGACGCUCCAGAAUACUUCCAGCUAUUUCAAGUUUUGUCGUGUGAUUUGUUUUGUUUGAUGCAUUCAUCAUUGCACUUUUGCAUUGCAUCAUGUCGUCUUGCAACCCCCUUUUUAAAACUCACCUAAAUAAAUUGCAUGGAUCAUUGAUCUACUUAAAUCGAGGGAUAUUCACAUGGUGAUUUCUCUUUAAAACAUAUUCAAAGUCUCCUACUAUUUUUAGGGAGCUAAUAAAUAUUCCACUAAUUUGGAAUUCACCAUAACACACUUGCAAAAUAUUCCAUGCCUUUGUUAUAUCACUUCUUGACCUCAAACUUUGUCCAUAAAUUCUUUCAUCGCUUUCCGGAGCUCCACCAAAAAUCUCAACAUUUUGGCCACUCCUAAACCUUGUCCUAGUUCAAACCAUUUGAAUUAAUUCAAAUAAGUUUGAAUUUAAAUCUUGCAUUCGUGCCAACUUCUUUUUUCUUGGGUCAAGCUUAUUUUUAUGAGCCCAGGAAAACUGUCUUCGUGCGCAAAUUCUUCCCCUAACCCUCUCUUUCCUUCUCUUCUCUCUAUUUCUUUUCUGCUAAAGAAUAGAAGGGAGGGAGAGAGAGUCCAGCCCAGCUGGGCGUCCUAGCCCAUAGCACCAGCACACCUCAUUAGGCCCAGCCGGCCCCAGCUCCAUAACCCUAGCUACCCUGAUCCCCUCCUCUCGAUCCCCAUCUCUCCCUCUCGUUCCUGUCCGCCGCACGCACGCACGCACAGAGGAGCGCGCCCUUGCCCCGUCCCUGUCCGCCACUCCCCCUGCUCCUCUACGCGGUGCCGACCGGCGACCAAGACGAACGGGAACCGCGCCGGAGCUCCUUCCUCUAUGCCCUCUCCUGGAGCCGCUCGCUGCUGCUGCUCUUCAUCGAGGCGCAAGUCCCGCCGCGGCUGCUGCUCUGCUCCUGCCCCACCGGUCGCCUCUGCCUCGACCCCGCGUCCUCGCCUCCGGCUACCGUCGCAGCUCCGUGCACCCUGGCCCCCUCGUGCCUCAACGGAGCAGGUCCCCGCGCCCCACGACUUUGUCUGCGUCGUCUCCUGCUCCUCGCCUCAAGCGCCGACGCUCCAAGGACGGCCUCCUGCAGUUUGUCGUUGCCGGAGCUCCCCACCUCCAGCAAGCAGCCAACCUCGCCACCGUCGCCAUCAACCCCUCCACCUGCGUCCUGCACACCACUGCCCCGAGCGCCCCUGUCCUCGAGCACCUGUUAACUUCGGUUACGGUCAAGCGCUCUGACCCGUUGCUGCCAUUGCCUUGCAUCCAUCUGGCCCUGUUGUGUUCAUGGAGCCACUGUACCAUGGCCAAGACUGAGACCGCCAAGUCCGAAGACCCCAAGUACCACGACUACCCUCGAGGACGUUGGCUCCGUCAAGUUCGACUACAACUCGUGUACGACUACCGUCGCCGUGUACCACUACUUCCACUAUCGUCGCCCCGAAGAUGUUGGAUUCGUCAAGUACCUCUCCGAAACGAACGUGUACAACUACUUCCCCUACACCGCAUCGAACCCGAUCCGCUCUGAAAACGCACGCUUCAAAGGUAUAACUCCGAGACGACCGCCCGUGGACGAAUGCAUGUGUGUUGUAUGAAAUGCUCGUGUGUGCAUCGUGUCCGAGUUGUCAUUGCACGUUCCUCCUCGUUUGCCAUGCCAUCGACCCGUGGGAACCCGUUAAUCGGGAUUACCCCACCAUCCUUGCAUGAACCGUUCAUCCACACUUUCUUUUGCACCGACAUCUCGACGAGUUGUCGGAUCAUCGGAAUGUUGCCGUGGCACCAUUUUCAUUGUCGUUGUCGUGGCACCCCUUUCGUUCCACCACGGUAACAAAAGCUUCAUAACAUGCUCAUGUCAAC